RNAcentral lists this ribosomal RNA (482 nucleotides) under uncultured bacterium. RNAcentral describes it as "bacterial SSU rRNA". It matches the Rfam family "Bacterial small subunit ribosomal RNA", at positions 30 to 507 of the family's 1533-position model. The record is from RNAcentral.
AUUGAACGCUGGCGGCAUGCCUUACACAUGCAAGUCGAACGGUAACAGGUCUUCGGAUGCUGACGAGUGGCGAACGGGUGAGUAAUACAUCGGAACGUGCCCGAGAGUGGGGGAUAACGAAGCGAAAGCUUUGCUAAUACCGCAUACGAUCUCAGGAUGAAAGCAGGGGACCGCAAGGCCUUGCGCUCACGGAGCGGCCGAUGGCAGAUUAGGUAGUUGGUGGGAUAAAAGCUUACCAAGCCGACGAUCUGUAGCUGGUCUGAGAGGACGACCAGCCACACUGGGACUGAGACACGGCCCAGACUCCUACGGGAGGCAGCAGUGGGGAAUUUUGGACAAUGGGCGCAAGCCUGAUCCAGCCAUGCCGCGUGCAGGAUGAAGGCCUUCGGGUUGUAAACUGCUUUUGUACGGAACGAAACGGUGAGCUCUAAUAAAGCUUGCUAAUGACGGUACCGUAAGAAUAAGCACCGGCUAACUACGUG